CCUACGGGAGGCAGCAGUGAGGAAUAUUGGUCAAUGGACGCGAGUCUGAACCAGCCAUGUAGCGUGAAGGAAGACGGCCCUAUGGGUUGUAAACUGCUUUUAUAAGGGAAUAAAGUGAGGCACGUGUACCUGUUUGUAUGUAUUGUAUGAAUAAGGAUCGGCUAACUCCGUGCCAGCAGCCGCGGUAAUACGGAGGAUCCGAGCGUUAUCCGGAUUUAUUGGGUUUAAAGGGUGCGUAGGUGGGUUGUUAAGUUAGAUGUGAAAGUUUGCGGCUCAACCCUGAAAUUGCCACUAAUACUGGAGGACUAGAGUGUAGUUGAGGUAGGCGGAAUGCGUGGUGGAGCGGUGAAAUGCUUAGAUAUCACGCAGAACACCGAUUGCGAAGGCAGCUUACCAAACUAUAACUGACAUUGAGGCACGAAAGUGUGGGUAUCAAACAGGAUUAGAUACCCGUGUAGUC
Molecule: ribosomal RNA, 460 nt
Filed under: uncultured bacterium
Lineage: Bacteria
Description: partial 16S ribosomal RNA
Rfam family: Bacterial small subunit ribosomal RNA
Source: RNAcentral